This 352-nucleotide unclassified non-coding RNA is filed under the name soil metagenome. RNAcentral's name for it is "partial contains 5.8S ribosomal RNA, internal transcribed spacer 2, and large subunit ribosomal RNA". The stretch from base 1 to 120 matches the Rfam family "5.8S ribosomal RNA", at positions 35 to 154 of the family's 154-position model. The record is from RNAcentral.
GAUGAAGAACGGAGUGAAAUGCGAUAAGUAAUGUGAAUUGCAGAAUUCAGUGAAUCAUCGAAUCUUUGAACGCACAUUGCGCCCGCCAGCACUCUGGCGGGCAUGCCUGUCCGAGCGUCAUUUCAACCCUCGCGCCGUCCCUCCAGGGGGCUCGGCGCGGUGUUGGGGGACACGGCCCCGGCCGCCCCCGAAAUGCAGUGGCGACCCCGCCGCGGCCCCUCCAGCGCAGUAAGCACGCUCGCUACGGGAGGCCCGGUGGACGCGUCCGCCGUAAAACGCCCAACUCUUCAGAAGUUGACCUCGGAUCAGGUAGGGAUACCCGCUGAACUUAAGCAUAUCAAUAAGCGGAGGA